UCCCUUAUAGCUCAGUUGGGAAAGAAUCUGCCUGCAAUGCAGGAGACCCAGGUUUGAUUCCUGGGUCGGGAA
Molecule: transfer RNA, 72 nt
Organism: Ovis aries (sheep)
Lineage: Eukaryota; Metazoa; Chordata; Mammalia; Artiodactyla; Bovidae
Rfam family: tRNA
About the family: Transfer RNA (tRNA) molecules are approximately 80 nucleotides in length. Their secondary structure includes four short double-helical elements and three loops (D, anti-codon, and T loops).
Source: Rfam